AGAGGAGUGGGGUGGAGUUGGAAUGAUGAAACCCAUGGAGUGCUAGUCUAUUUAUAAUAGGUGUAGGGAUGCAUCUCCAAGGGAUGCAUCCCAUCCACACAUCCUCUUAUGAAAGGACAUCAUUUAAAGGGCCAUAUUAAAUAAGAGGAGGUGCAGAUCAAGUGAGGAGGUGUAUCAAAUGAUAUGUCCUUUCAUGUGGUGCCAUAUUUUGACCAAGUCAACAUCACAUGCUAAUCACAUGUCCAUCACGCCUCACCUCUUGAUCUUUCAUGAUGAUGAUCCAAGGGCUCCAAUGCAAGGCGCCAUUCACUUGACCCAUUAUAUCUUAAUCCAAUGGUGGGAUUAAGAUCCAAUGGUCAAUUAUGGUAGCCAUCCUCUAACUCAAUCCAAUUGGGUUAAACCAACUCUCCAUUAUAACUUCAUCCAAUGGUAGAUCAAGAUCUAACGGUCUAGAUUGAAUGAUUUAUUAAAUCUAAUCCAAUUGGACUCAAACUAAGCCAAUUAGGUGCCAACUCUUGGCUAACCCAUAUUAGAAUAUGAUCUAAUCAAAUUAGAUCAAUUAAGAAUCAGAUUCGAAUCCAAUUCGAAACAGAUUUGAAUCCAAUUCGAAUCAGGAGCUAAGGUUUGCAACACUUGCUAGGAUGUUUAUCUUGCAAACAUGAUCUAAUCCAAUUAGACCCUUGAUAAGUUUUCUUGUGUGUGACCCAUUGGGUUCCAUACUUAGCCAGCAAUAGGUGUGAGUGCGAGUUGACCCAACUUGAUUAGAACUCUUCUAAUCGAUUUAAGUCCAAACUACGCGAACCCGAACUUAACAAUUAGAAUCAUUUCUAAUUGGUGAUCGAAUUAAACUUUUUAAUUCGAUCAAACCUAUAAA
RNAcentral lists this long non-coding RNA (874 nucleotides) under Phoenix dactylifera (date palm). Its description in RNAcentral is "long non-coding RNA (PDAC_LNC008061)". Lineage: Eukaryota; Viridiplantae; Streptophyta; Magnoliopsida; Arecales; Arecaceae. The record is from RNAcentral.